GCAAACUUGGUCAUUUAGAGGAAGUAAAAGUCGUAACAAGGUCUCCGUAGGUGAACCUGCGGAGGGAUCAUUAACGAAUGGUCUUGGUACCUUCAAAACCCCUCAAACCAGUGGACAUGAAAAAUGUGCUUCGGCGCUCCGGCGCCGCUUUUAUGCUGUAAUUCUGUCGUUUGUGUCUGAAUACAAAACAAAGAAUUAAAACUUUCAACAAAGGAUCUCUUGGCUCUCCUGCGGAGGGAUCAUUAACGAAUGGUCUUGGUACCUUCAAAACCCCUCAAACCAGUGGACAUGAAAAAUGUGCUUCGGCGCUCCGGCGCCGCUUUUAUGCUGUAAUUCUGUCGUUUGUGUCUGAAUACAAAACAAAGAAUUAAAACUUUCAACAAAGGAUCUCUUGGCUCUCGCAUCGAUGAAGAACGCAGC
RNAcentral lists this unclassified non-coding RNA (420 nucleotides) under uncultured fungus. RNAcentral's name for it is "partial contains small subunit ribosomal RNA, internal transcribed spacer 1, and 5.8S ribosomal RNA". The stretch from base 1 to 73 matches the Rfam family "Eukaryotic small subunit ribosomal RNA", at positions 1759 to 1831 of the family's 1831-position model. Lineage: Eukaryota; Fungi. The record is from RNAcentral.